This is a long non-coding RNA of Sphaeramia orbicularis (orbiculate cardinalfish), 236 nucleotides long. RefSeq lists it as uncharacterized. Lineage: Eukaryota; Metazoa; Chordata; Actinopteri; Kurtiformes; Apogonidae. The record is from RefSeq and is a predicted model, not a curated record. The transcript has 4 exons.
AAUAAAACUUCACAAUGUAUAAUUAGCUCAUCCGUCAUUUCGCUUCUUCCAUCUCAUUUGCUUAUGAGAACACUGUAGUGUCGACAGGCAAAAUGCCUCUGCAGUAACAAAGCAAAAAGGAGCUUAGAUCUGCGAUCUCCAUGUUUGUUGUUUAUGUUCAACAUGGAUAAACUGGAAUACUUUAAGGUGGGAUAUAGUUAACUCCAAGUGACAUAGACAAUAUUGUCAAAAGUAUU